GGGAGGCUGGCUUGCAGUGGAGGCUCUGUUCCAGCCAUGAAUCACCUCUGGACCUCUUCCUGGCCAAGGCGGGCAGUAACCCUUCUUUAGAAACAUUUCAUAUGCAAAGCAUGCAUCGGCCACAUCCAUGCUAUCUCCUAAAGCAGUCAUUCUGAAACCCAAUCUGGGGACAGUGCAGACUAAAUAAAAUUUCAUUUUGAUUUGGCCUCCCGCUGCGAACGGGACUGCUUUGUCUCAGCCGACAGAACCAGCAAGCCAGAAAGUGUUUCAAGAAUAUCCUGGAGGCAGAAGCGUCUUAAAUAUGAAAAUCAAAGCAGACACUUCAGAAGGGAGUGCAGCUUCAGCAUGAGUGCUAAGAGCUUCCUGAGGAUUGACCACAGAGAAGACACCACCUAAGACACAGGCAACAACUCUAUUAAACGCGAUCUCUGAGAGACUCGUCUGUAUCCCGGUCAUCCG
Molecule: long non-coding RNA, 459 nt
Organism: Rattus rattus (black rat)
Lineage: Eukaryota; Metazoa; Chordata; Mammalia; Rodentia; Muridae
Exons: 4
Source: RefSeq, a predicted model, not a curated record